AACGAACGCUGGCGGCAGGCCUAACACAUGCAAGUCGAACGCCCUAGCAAUAGGGAGUGGCAGACGGGUGAGUAACACGUGGGAACGUGCCUUUCGGUUCGGAAUAACCCAGGGAAACUUGGACUAAUACCGGAUACGUGCGAGAGCAGAAAGAUUUAUCGCCGAAAGAUCGGCCCGCGUCCGAUUAGCUAGUUGGUGAGGUAACGGCUCACCAAGGCGACGAUCGGUAGCUGGUCNGAGAGGA
RNAcentral lists this ribosomal RNA (244 nucleotides) under uncultured bacterium. Its description in RNAcentral is "partial 16S ribosomal RNA". It matches the Rfam family "Bacterial small subunit ribosomal RNA", at positions 29 to 300 of the family's 1533-position model. The record is from RNAcentral.